AAUACCCUAUUAUUUUAAAAGUAAUUGAUUAAAUCUAAUUAGUAAUAGUUAAGUUCUUGAAAAUUAAAGAAUUUGGCGGUAUUUUAGUCUAUUCAGAGGAAUCUGUCCUAUAAUUGAUAAUCCACGAUUAUUUAUACCUAAAUUAUUAAUUUACAUAUCGCCGUAGUUUGAAUAUUUUUUGAAAAUUAUAAUAUUCAUAAUUUAUUUUUAUAAAAAAAAUCAGGUCAAGGUGUAGUUUAUAUUUAGGAAGAGAUGGGUUACAAUAAAAAUAUUUAUUAUGGAUUAAUUAAUUAAAUUUUUUUAUGAAAGUGGAUUUGAAAGUAAUUUUAUUUA
Molecule: ribosomal RNA, 333 nt
Filed under: Laparocerus acutipennis
Lineage: Eukaryota; Metazoa; Arthropoda; Insecta; Coleoptera; Curculionidae
Description: partial 12S ribosomal RNA
Source: RNAcentral